UUUUCUUUAUUCAUAAGAAAAGAAAAGGAAUUACUGUUUGAAACUUGUGUGUUUACAAGGCAAGAAAGGAGCUCGAGAUUUUGGAUAAUCACAUACUUGGCGAGCUUGGCUCCUUUCGGAGUGUGGAAGCUGUUGAUGAGCUCAAUCAGCCGAUAAUUAUCAGUCAAACUGAUGAUCAAGGCCGGGACUCCCUAUUGCAGAUCAAACUUCAUAUUUAAAACAAGAGAUUACAAAAAUGCUCCUUCAUGGGAGUAUACCUUCCGAAGAGGGACCACAGAUAACAGGCCUAGGAAGCUGACAAGAAAGAGAAAGCCGAUGAUCCAUGACAAUGAUGGGUUCUUGAAUACAUUUGCAUCUGGACCAGUCGCAAGUGUAUCACUCAUAGCGAAAAGGAAGUUUGAGUUUACCGCUAAAGGCAAUUCCUGAGGAGGCCACGACACAGGUCUGGAUCACAGUGUUUUCCUGCCUGGUAAAGGGCACAGCCACAAACCUACUGAAUAGACUAGUCCAAGUCUUAACGAAGAAGUACC
Punica granatum (pomegranate) is the source of this 530-nucleotide non-coding RNA. Lineage: Eukaryota; Viridiplantae; Streptophyta; Magnoliopsida; Myrtales; Lythraceae. The record is from RefSeq and is a predicted model, not a curated record.